Molecule: non-coding RNA, 596 nt
Organism: Arachis ipaensis
Lineage: Eukaryota; Viridiplantae; Streptophyta; Magnoliopsida; Fabales; Fabaceae
Source: RefSeq, a predicted model, not a curated record
GAUAUCAUAUCUUUUUGAUAAGACGAAAAGAAGGAAGAGAAAUGGCUAUGAAAAGUGUAAUAAUAGAUGCACAACAAAUAAUAAUGUUUCUUAUUAUUGGAGUAGCUAUUUGUUUUGUUUUUGCUGAGUCUCAUGAAAUUAUUCCUAGUAAAGAGCCUUCACCUCCAUCUUAUUAUACUAAACAGUUUCCUAGACAGAAUCCCGGAGAGUAUGGAACCAAGCCAACUUUAAAAAACUGUAUCAACAAAUGCAUAGAACUACAAUGGCCGCAUCCAGAAGAUAAGUCCAUAAGUAGAAUGCGAUCGAUGAAGGAGUGCGCUGAAAAUUGCUUGAAGAGUUUCAUAUCUACGAUACUUUAAAAAUGGUUGCUAGAAUUGAUGAAAUUUAAAUAAAUACUUUAAUGUAAUGUUUUCUUUACCGUUGUUACUUUCAUGUCUCGGGCUUCAAGUCUAUUGGCUCAGUUAUGCAUUCUAUAAGACAAUAUAUAGUUGCUACCAAAAUUAUCAACAAAUAUAAUAAAAUGGCACAUCUUAGUGCCUCUAAGUAUAGGAAAAGUUUUAAGUAUACUAAGAACAUCGAUAUUUCAGUUAUUUUAA